GAGUUUGAUCCUGGCUCAGAGCGAACGCUGGCGGCAGGCCUAACACAUGCAAGUCGAACGGCUCUUCGGAGCAGUGGCGGACGGGUGAGUAACGCGUGGGAACGUGCCCUUUGGUUCGGAACAACACAGGGAAACUUGUGCUAAUACCGGAUGAGCCCUUUUGGGGAAAGAUUUAUCGCCAUUGGAGCGGCCCGCGUUGGAUUAGGUAGUUGGUGGGGUAACGGCCUACCAAGCCUACGAUCCAUAGCUGGUCUGAGAGGAUGAUCAGCCACACUGGGACUGAGACACGGCCCAGACUCCUACGGGAGGCAGCAGUGGGGAAUCUUGCGCAAUGGGCGAAAGCCUGACGCAGCCAUGCCGCGUGUAUGAUGAAGGUCUUAGGAUUGUAAAAUACUUUCACCGGGGAAGAUAAUGACGGUACCCGGAGAAGAAGCCCCGGCUAACUUCGUGCCAGCAGCCGCGGUA
RNAcentral lists this ribosomal RNA (465 nucleotides) under uncultured Phenylobacterium sp. Its description in RNAcentral is "bacterial SSU rRNA". It matches the Rfam family "Bacterial small subunit ribosomal RNA", at positions 9 to 522 of the family's 1533-position model. Lineage: Bacteria; Pseudomonadati; Pseudomonadota; Alphaproteobacteria; Caulobacterales; Caulobacteraceae. The record is from RNAcentral.